This 3418-nucleotide long non-coding RNA is filed under the name Actinidia chinensis (golden kiwifruit). RNAcentral describes it as "long non-coding RNA (ACHI_LNC004355)". Lineage: Eukaryota; Viridiplantae; Streptophyta; Magnoliopsida; Ericales; Actinidiaceae. The record is from RNAcentral.
AUGAGGGGGAAGGCCAAUGAACAAGUGGUAGGAAAGAAACAAGAAAAUUAUUGGUAGUUAAAGCUGUACAUGACGUGGUUGAAAUGCUUAUCUACAAAGCUAUAGUACUAGUAUUUAAGUUGUGUUCUGACGGUUACCAAGAGAAGCAAAAGCCCUUCAGACCGUAGGAGUAUCUUUCUACUCUAAUUUCUUGAUCGGUGAGAUUUAAUUUUUUUUUUCUAUUAUUAUUUCAUCUACAUAAGCUAUAAUUUUAUUUUUGUAACUGAACAAGUUGACAGUUUCCUAACCUUGUUUUCCUGAUAAAUUUACGGUUUAGGAAAGAUUUAAAUAAGAAAGAUUUAAAAGAUUCUUUUAGAUUCACGAAAACUAUCUUUGCUAAAAAAAUAAUUAAAUAAGAUAUUAUCUAACUCAUGCGGUUGGUUAGCUUGAUCCAAAAGUUGGAGCCAAGAAUCAUGAUCUAACUCAGGUAUAAAGUGUAUUAACUUUCUAACCAUUUGACACAAUUUGGUCUUAAACGUCAAUGUGGCCUUUUUUUUUCACAAGAUUGCAUUAGUUGGUAGUAAGUUAUGCACGAUAGCAAGUCGACGUUGCUCCAUAAAUUUGAAUCUGAAAGGCUGAAACCUUUCACAUGGACACCUAAGUGUCCCCCUCAUGACCACAUGAGCUAAAGCUCAAAGUCUCAAUAUCUUCCUUACCAACAACAAUCUUUCUCAAAUUCCAACUUUUCACUAGUAAUAUUAAGUGUCUACCAAGCUACUCCUCUAGGGUACGUUGGUUCUUCAAAACUGAAAACAACCACCAAAGAGAAGCCUAAAAUGUUUCAUUCUUUUAUCCAUGCUUCAGUUUUCUUGACCUUUUGUGGAAUGUGAUUUGCAGGACUAGAGAAUGGGAAAGUGUGUUCAACUUGUGGCCAAGUGGGUGUUGCUUAUGAUCCUUGUGCUCAUCAUGUUGACCUCAACGGCAACUAUUGCCUCAGCUGCACCUACUAAAGGAAUGCCCCGCCGUAGCCUGAUAGGCUGUCCCUGCCCUAAAAGGCCAGUUUGUUGCCGUCAUCCUGAUCAACGAGAAAUUAUGUGGUGAUUCUGAAACACAUGGUCUACAAGAUCUUACCAACAUACAAUGGAGUUACGAAGUUUUGUGGUUGAUUAUGAAUUUGUAGUUUAUUUAUUAUAAAAAUUUUGUUAUGUGAAUUGUUAUGAUUAGUUAAGAAAUAUUGUGGUUUGGUUAUAAAAAUGUGGGUUUGUAUAAUGUAUCCAAAAAAAAGAAGUGUAUUUUAGGCUUUCCGUUAUCUUAUAUAUCUUAGGGUAGAUGUAACAUAAAUCAAUAAUAUAUAUCCACCUUUAGAAGUAUUGAUAUAAUUGAACACGACAUGAGAAAAAUCCCUUGGCACAUGGGUCGAUUUGCUCAAUAGAAAUCAUAACAUUCAAACACUUGGCGUCCGUACACUACAACCAAGUUCUCAGCCUACAAUAUCAAUUAGAUCUACUCUAAACCAUGAUCCAAUAAUCAUAAUAACAAGCCAUUAACGUAAUCUAAAAUAGGCAAGUGAUUUAACGUGGAAAACUCUCCUCGGGAUAAAAAUCAUGGGACCCAAGUUCGAAAACAAUGCACUAUAAAUAAAUAGCAGAUACAGGAGUUCUUACAACCACAAUAUGUUAAUCCUCAGUUAUAACUAAGACCGCUCUUGCCAAAUACUUGCAAAUUGCUUCUUGUAAUUGAAUUCCCUUUGGUCCAAACUCGAUCUAUCAAUUGGAAUCCACCGUCCUUGCAAUUGAACCAUGUCAAAGGACUUGUAACUGAGUGGAUAGGUGUUGAAUUAGUACUCUUGAUCAGAAGAUGAAUUGUAGCUAAGUGAUCCAUGGAUCUUCAUUAAGCUUCUCAAACACACACUAUUAAGCUUGUAGAGAUCUUGGAAUCAUAUUUGGAAUAUGAGUUUACCCUUUCUUUUGAAGUUAGAAUUUUCUCUCUCUAGUUAGGUCUAGAAUGAAGGAACAAGCAUUUACAUACACCAUAUAGCUAGAAUUUCGCUCAAGCAGCAUUUAAACGGAAGAUUCAUAAUACCUCUUUCAACAUCUUUACUCAACAUGUUGAACCAGGGCUGAACCGCAAGUUCAGUAUCUCAAGUUUAACAUAACCAUUAACUCACCCAAAUUGCGUUACAAGUCCAAAUUCGAUGCUAAGCUCUUACAUGGUAAGAAAUAGCCUCCAAAACCGCUCAACCACCAUAAGAAACAUGCUAUACAACAAAUCCACAUAAAAUAUAGAAUACAAUAAAAAAUUAUAUUUUCUCUGCGAUAAGCCAAACCUAAAGAGGUAAGCGAAGAAACCCAACACAACCAAUUAAAUAGGUGAUUAAUGUUAACCUUAGGGGUUGCUUGACUGAUAACAGCCGUGUUUUUUGGCAUUUUUGUUCAAAUCUUUUAUCGUGUUAGUUAAGAAAUAUUAUGACUAGUUAUAAAAAUGUGUAUAUAUGGUGUACCUGUUAUUUUACAUAUCUUCAAGGUCGAUGUAACAUAAAUGAAUAAUAUUUAUCCACCUUUAGAAGCGAUUGAUAUAAUUGAACACAACCUCAAAAACAUCCUUGCACACAAGGGUCAAUUUUCUGAAUUAAAUUUUCAAACUUGAAUUGUUACAUAAUAAGUUAUAUGUAGCAAUUUAACAAACACUUGGCGUCUGUAGGCUACAACCAAGUUGAGACUUACAAUAUUAAUGAGAUCUAUUUGAAACCAUGAUCCAUCAAUCACAAUAACAAGCCAUUAACAUAAUCUAACAUAGGCUAGCGAUUUAAAGUGGAAAACUCACCUUGGUAUACAAACCAGGGGACGAAUGUCGGAAACAAUUGCAUUAUGAACAAAUAAUGGAAACAAAAGUUAUUACAACUACAAUAUAUGAAUGCUCACUUCUGAUUAAGACCGCUCGUUUCGAAUCCUUGCAAAUCGCUUCCCAUGCUUGAAUUUUCCUUGUUCUAAACUUGAUCUAUCAAAUGGAAUCCACCGUACUUGCAUUUGAACCAUUUCAAAGGACUUGUAAUUGACUAAAAAAUUGUUGAAUUACACUUGACCACAAGAUAAAUUGAAGAUUAAUGAUCCAUGAAUCCUCAUUAGACUUCUCAAGCACACACCAUUAACCUUGGAGUAUUUGGAACAUGAGUUUUCCUUUUUCUUUUAGUAAGAAUUUUCUCUCUCAAGUUAGGUCUAGUGCUUGCUCUGAUCUGAUGUUAUCUAAUUAUUACAGGCAGUUUUUAUGAGUACGAACCUUUCAAUGUAGCAUAAUACUUGAAAGUCUCAAGAUCAUAUCCACAAAGAGCUGGAAAUGCAAGAUUAAGUUUUAUUGCUAGUGAAAAAAUUGUAAAAAUAUUAUUUUGAGAUUUUUGAAAAAUUAUGUAAAUGAGAUGUAAAUUACAAAUGUAAAAUGGCAU